RNAcentral lists this ribosomal RNA (464 nucleotides) under Vreelandella stevensii. RNAcentral's name for it is "partial 16S ribosomal RNA". It matches the Rfam family "Bacterial small subunit ribosomal RNA", at positions 339 to 795 of the family's 1533-position model. Lineage: Bacteria; Pseudomonadati; Pseudomonadota; Gammaproteobacteria; Oceanospirillales; Halomonadaceae. The record is from RNAcentral.
CCUCGGGUGGCUGCAGUGGGGAAUAUUGGACAAUGGGCGAAAGCCUGAUCCAGCCAUGCCGCGUGUGUGAAGAAGGCCUUCGGGUUGUAAAGCACUUUCAGUGGGGAAGAAAGCCUUGGGGCUAAUACCCUCGAGGAAGGACAUCACCCACAGAAGAAGCACCGGCUAACUCCGUGCCAGCAGCCGCGGUAAUACGGAGGGUGCGAGCGUUAAUCGGAAUUACUGGGCGUAAAGCGCGCGUAGGCGGUCUGAUAAGCCGGUUGUGAAAGCCCCGGGCUCAACCUGGGAACGGCAUCCGGAACUGUCAGGCUAGAGUGCAGGAGAGGAAGGUAGAAUUCCCGGUGUAGCGGUGAAAUGCGUAGAGAUCGGGAGGAAUACCAGUGGCGAAGGCGGCCUUCUGGACUGACACUGACGCUGAGGUGCGAAAGCGUGGGUAGCAAACAGGAUUAGAUACCCCAGUAGUC